RNAcentral lists this long non-coding RNA (1423 nucleotides) under Sorghum bicolor (sorghum). Its description in RNAcentral is "long non-coding RNA (SBIC_LNC006190)". Lineage: Eukaryota; Viridiplantae; Streptophyta; Magnoliopsida; Poales; Poaceae. The record is from RNAcentral.
GCCAGCAUGUAGAUUUUACGCUGACGUGUAAGCUGUAUUCUACUUUUUUUUACCACAAACAGUCCGCGCCUGGCGUUGUACAUCAUACGGGUUGGAGUGGAAGCUCAUGCUGAUGCAGUGAUGCUGAACAUGCCAGUGUGUGUCUGAGUUCUGACGCCCGUGCGGCAGCGAACUCCAUCCAUCUGGCCUUGUUUAGUUCCGAAAAGUGAAAACUUUUCGGUACUGUAGCAUUUUCGUUUGUUUGUGACAAAUAUUAUCCAAUCAUGGACUAACUAGGAUCAAAAGAUUCGUCUCGUGAUUUACAGCUAAACUGUGUAAUUAGUUUUUGUUUUCGUCUAUAUUUAAUGUUUCAUGCAUGUGCCACAAGAUUCGAUGUGACGGGAAAUCUUGAAAACUUUUUGGUUUUCAGGGUGAACUAAACAAGGCCAGUUUCUAUGAGUUGCCAGCGCAUCGCCGUGUGAAGUGUGAGGCCUGGUUUAGUUCGAGAAAAAUUUUGGAUUUCGCUACCGUAGUAUUUUCGUUUGUUUGUGACAAAUAUUAUCCAAUCAUAGACUAACUAGGAUCAAAAGAUUCGUCUCGCGAUUUACAGGUAAACUGUGUAAUUAGUUUUUAUUUUCGUCUAUAUUUAAUGCUUCAUACAUAUGCUGCAAGAUUCGAUGUGACUAAGAAUCUUAAAAAUUUUUGAAAACUAAACAAGACCUGAACUCGCGUUUUCUCGAUCGGCGCACGUUCCAAUGGCUCCCUUUUACAGCUAGGCCGCACCCGCACGUCCCAAUUAUGCUUCAGUUUUAACCUUUGGUUUGUCACGGGGCAAACCAAAAGAACAUUUUUUUUUGCGAUUAAAAGAACCAAUUUAAAAGUACGGAGUACGUCGUUUGAGUCUUGGGGGCAAUUUUGUUUUGAAAGUUCCGCCUUCCAAGUUAGGCCUAGUUUAGUUCUGUUUUUUUUUAUUUUGGUACUGUAGCAUUUUGUUUUUAUUUGACAAAUAUUAUCUAAUCAUAGACUAACUAGGCUCAAAAGAUUCAUCUCGUGAUUUAUAGACAAAUUGUAUAAUUAGUUUUUGUUUUCAUUUAUAUUUAAUACUCCAUACAUAUGCUACAAAAUUUGAUGUGACAGAGAAUUUUGAAAAGUUUUUGGUUUUUGAUGAACUAAACAAGCCCUUAGAUUCCUGUUUUACCACACGCUAUUGCCAAGUGUUUGUUUGGCUUCGUCCAACCGUAAAGCUUCUUCUCUCAAUUAUAAACACCAAGGAUAUACGGUGACUCUCCCCAACGAUCCGAGUUUUAGGACCUCGUGAUGACUUUGGCAAGCUGAAUAACACAGUGGCUAAUAAUGCUAGUAGCGUCAUAUUGUCUUAAAAAUAUCUUUUUAAGAGAAACAGAGUGUAAAUAGUACUCAAUCCAUCUCAAAUUAUAAGUCGUUU